GUUUCCUCUUUGGCAGCACAGGUAUUAAAACUGGAACAGUACAGAUGGGAUUAGCAUGGCCCCUGGGCAAUGACAAUCAAAUUCCUGAAGUGUUCCAUAUUUGU
Small nuclear RNA from Cricetulus griseus (Chinese hamster), 104 nucleotides. Lineage: Eukaryota; Metazoa; Chordata; Mammalia; Rodentia; Cricetidae. The record is from Ensembl.